This 468-nucleotide ribosomal RNA is filed under the name uncultured bacterium. Its description in RNAcentral is "partial 16S ribosomal RNA". It matches the Rfam family "Bacterial small subunit ribosomal RNA", at positions 28 to 507 of the family's 1533-position model. The record is from RNAcentral.
GACGAACGCUGGCGGCGUGCUUAACACAUGCAAGUCGAACGGAAAGGCCCUGCUUUUGUGGGGUGCUCGAGUGGCGAACGGGUGAGUAACACGUGAGUAACCUGCCCUUGACUUUGGGAUAACUUCAGGAAACUGGGGCUAAUACCGGAUAGGAGCUCCUGCUGCAUGGUGGGGGUUGGAAAGUUUCGGCGGUUGGGGAUGGACUCGCGGCUUAUCAGCUUGUUGGUGGGGUAGUGGCUUACCAAGGCUUUGACGGGUAGCCGGCCUGAGAGGGUGACCGGCCACACUGGGACUGAGAUACGGCCCAGACUCCUACGGUAGGCAGCAGUGGGGAAUAUUGCACAAUGGGCGGAAGCCUGAUGCAGCAACGCCGCGUGCGGGAUGACGGCCUUCGGGUUGUAAACCGCUUUCGCCUGUGACGAAGCGUGAGUGACGGUAAUGGGUAAAGAAGCACCGGCUAACUACGUG